UUAACUUAAAUUUGUAUGGAGUUAGAAUGUAUGCCUACGAUGCUGUUCCAACUGCAUACAAAUUUGACUUA
Bombyx mori (domestic silkworm) is the source of this 71-nucleotide non-coding RNA. The record is from Rfam. Lineage: Eukaryota; Metazoa; Arthropoda; Insecta; Lepidoptera; Bombycidae.